GACGAACGCUGGCGGCGUGCUUAACACAUGCAAGUCGAACGGAAAGGCCCUGCUUGCAGGGUACUCGAGUGGCGAACGGGUGAGUAACACGUGGGUGAUCUGCCCUGCACUUCGGGAUAAGCCUGGGAAACUGGGUCUAAUACCGGAUAGGAGCCAUUUUUAGUGUGAUGGUUGGAAAGUUUUUUCGGUGUAGGAUGAGCUCGCGGCCUAUCAGCUUGUUGGGGGGGUAAUGGCCUACCAAGGCGGCGACGGGUAGCCGGCCUGAGAGGGUGGACGGCCACAUUGGGACUGAGAUACGGCCCAGACUCCUACGGGAGGCAGCAGUGGGGAAUAUUGCACAAUGGGCGCAAGCCUGAUGCAGCGACGCCGCGUGGGGGAUGACGGCCUUCGGGUUGUAAACUCCUUUCGCUAGGGACGAAGCUUUUUGUGACGGUACCUAGAUAAGAAGCACCGGCUAACUACGUG
Molecule: ribosomal RNA, 465 nt
Filed under: uncultured bacterium
Lineage: Bacteria
Description: partial 16S ribosomal RNA
Rfam family: Bacterial small subunit ribosomal RNA
Source: RNAcentral